Molecule: ribosomal RNA, 497 nt
Filed under: uncultured bacterium
Lineage: Bacteria
Description: partial 16S ribosomal RNA
Rfam family: Bacterial small subunit ribosomal RNA
Source: RNAcentral
GAUGAACGCUGGCGGCGUGCCUAAUACAUGCAAGUCGAGCGAACAGACGAGGAGCUUGCUCCUCUGACGUUAGCGGCGGACGGGUGAGUAACACGUGGAUAACCUACCUAUAAGACUGGGAUAACUUCGGGAAACCGGAGCUAAUACCGGAUAAUAUAUUGAACCGCAUGGUUCAAUAGUGAAAGACGGUUUUGCUGUCACUUAUAGAUGGAUCCGCGCCGCAUUAGCUAGUUAGUAAGGUAACGGCUUACCAAGGCAACGAUGCGUAGCCGACCUGAGAGGGUGAUCGGCCACACUGGAACUGAGACACGGUCCAGACUCCUACGGGAGGCAGCAGUAGGGAAUCUUCCGCAAUGGGCGAAAGCUUGACGGAGCAACGCCGCGUGAGUGAUGAAGGUCUUCGGAUCGUAAAACUCUGUUAUUAGGGAAGAACAAAUGUGUAAGUAACUAUGCACGUCUUGACGGUACCUAAUCAGAAAGCCACGGCUAACUACGUG